CUUAUUGGUCAUGAGAACCCUAAAUCCCGAGACCUUAGCCUAGAGAAACCCUCAUAUGUAUUGAUCUAGCUAUUCGAUUGACCUCAAAUCUCUUGUACACAUUCAAAACAAGCAUAUCAAUAAGUCUCUAAAUUUUUCUUCAUAAAAAUGCUACAAAAGUUAUAAAAUCUAAAAAUUUAUAAACCGGUUUUAUUUUUUAAAGAUUUAAAUUCACAGAUAACAUCACUCGCUUUGAAAAUCUCUCAAAAAUCCAAUAUUGAUGCAAACGAUAUGAAAUCAUCCCUCAAAAAUCCCUCCACAAGUCUGCUCCCUAAUUCGGCUCUUUGAUCUUCCAAAAAACCUUUGAGUUGCCAUCAGAGCACGGUUUUGUGCUUCAAGAUCUGAUUUCGACCUAGGUUCAUAACUGGUCCUCUUCGGGUAUCAACUUUCGUCUUCUUGAGGUAAUAUUUACUAAUUUGCACUCCUUACUCCUUUCUACAUAUGCUUAUAUUCUUUAUUUUUUUAAUCUACCUUUUUUUGCCUUAUUU
Molecule: long non-coding RNA, 527 nt
Filed under: Physcomitrium patens
Lineage: Eukaryota; Viridiplantae; Streptophyta; Bryopsida; Funariales; Funariaceae
Description: long non-coding RNA (PPAT_LNC000764)
Source: RNAcentral